RNAcentral lists this unclassified non-coding RNA (231 nucleotides) under plant metagenome. RNAcentral describes it as "partial contains small subunit ribosomal RNA, internal transcribed spacer 1, and 5.8S ribosomal RNA". The record is from RNAcentral.
UUUCCGUAGGUGAACCUGCGGAAGGAUCAUUAAAGAGAUCAUGCCCUCACGGGUAGACCUCCCACCCUUUGUUUACAAUACCUUUGUUGCUUUGGCGGGCCCGUUUGGCCCCGCGCUGAACAACCGGCCCCGGCUGGUCAGUGCCCGCCAGAGAACCGAAGACUCUGAAUUAAAUGUCGUCUGAGUACUAUGUAAUAGUUAAAACUUUCAACAACGGAUCUCUUGGUUCUG